RNAcentral lists this ribosomal RNA (813 nucleotides) under Streptomyces pilosus. RNAcentral describes it as "bacterial SSU rRNA". It matches the Rfam family "Bacterial small subunit ribosomal RNA", at positions 103 to 925 of the family's 1533-position model. The record is from RNAcentral. Lineage: Bacteria; Bacillati; Actinomycetota; Actinomycetes; Kitasatosporales; Streptomycetaceae.
CGGGUGAGUAACACGUGGGCAAUCUGCCCUGCACUCUGGGACAAGCCCUGGAAACGGGGUCUAAUACCGGAUACUGACCCCCGCAGGCAUCUGCGGGGUUCGAAAGCUCCGGCGGUGCAGGAUGAGCCCGCGGCCUAUCAGCUUGUUGGUGAGGUAAUGGCUCACCAAGGCGACGACGGGUAGCCGGCCUGAGAGGGCGACCGGCCACACUGGGACUGAGACACGGCUACAAACUCAUACGGGAGGCAGCAGUGGGGAAUAUUGCACAAUGGGCGAAAGCCUGAUGCAGCGACGCCGCGUGAGGGAUGACGGCCUUCGGGUUGUAAACCUCUUUCAGCAGGGAAGAAGCGAAAGUGACGGUACCUGCAGAAGAAGCGCCGGCUAACUACGUGCCAGCAGCCGCGGUAAUACGUAGGGCGCGAGCGUUGUCCGGAAUUAUUGGGCGUAAAGAGCUCGUAGGCGGCUUGUCACGUCGGUUGUGAAAGCCCGGGGCUUAACCCCGGGUCUGCAGUCGAUACGGGCAGGCUAGAGUUCGGUAGGGGAGAUCGGAAUUCCUGGUGUAGCGGUGAAAUGCGCAGAUAUCAGGAGGAACACCGGUGGCGAAGGCGGAUCUCUGGGCCGAUACUGACGCUGAGGAGCGAAAGCGUGGGGAGCGAACAGGAUUAGAUACCCUGGUAGUCCACGCCGUAAACGGUGGGCACUAGGUGUGGGCGACAUUCCACGUCGUCCGUGCCGCAGCUAACGCAUUAAGUGCCCCGGCCUGGGGAGUACGGCCGCAAGGCUAAAACUCAAAGGAAUUGACGGGGGCCCGCA